UGGGGAAUUUUGGACAAUGGGGGCAACCCUGAUCCAGCCAUGCCGCGUGUGCGAAGAAGGCCUUCGGGUUGUAAAGCACUUUUGGCAGGAAAGAAACGGCGCCGGCUAAUAUCUGGCGUAACUGACGGUACCUGCAGAAUAAGCACCGGCUAACUACGUGCCAGCAGCCGCGGUAAUACGUAGGGUGCAAGCGUUAAUCGGAAUUACUGGGCGUAAAGCGUGCGCAGGCGGUUCGGAAAGAAAGAUGUGAAAUCCCAGGGCUCAACCUUGGGAACUGCAUUUUUUAACUCCCCGAACUAGAGUGUGUCAGAGGGGGGUGGAAUUCCACGUGUAGCAGUGAAAUGCGUAGAUAUGUGGAGGAACACCGAUGGCGAAGGCAGCCCCCUGGGAUAACACUGACGCUCAUGCACGAAAGCGUGGGGAGCAAACAGGAUUAGAUACCCUGGUAGUCCACGCCCUAAACGAUGUCAACUAGCUGUUGGGUUCUUCGGAGCUUGGUAGCGCAGCUAACGCGUGAAGUUGACCGCCUGGGGAGUACGGUCGCAAGAUUAAAACUUAAAUGAAUUG
This 567-nucleotide ribosomal RNA is filed under the name uncultured bacterium. RNAcentral's name for it is "partial 16S ribosomal RNA". It matches the Rfam family "Bacterial small subunit ribosomal RNA", at positions 355 to 912 of the family's 1533-position model. The record is from RNAcentral.